This 1455-nucleotide ribosomal RNA is filed under the name uncultured Bordetella sp. RNAcentral's name for it is "partial 16S-23S ribosomal RNA intergenic spacer". It matches the Rfam family "Bacterial small subunit ribosomal RNA". The record is from RNAcentral. Lineage: Bacteria; Pseudomonadati; Pseudomonadota; Betaproteobacteria; Burkholderiales; Alcaligenaceae.
GUUCGAUUAUGGCUCAGAUUGAACGCUGGCGGGAUGCUUUACACAUGCAAGUCGAACGGCAGCACGGACUUCGGUCUGGUGGCGAGUGGCGAACGGGUGAGUAAUGUAUCGGAACGUGCUGGUAGCGGGGGAUAACUACGCGAAAGCGUAGCUAAUACCGCAUACGCCCUUCGAGGGAAAGCGGGGGACCUUCGGGCCUCGCACUAUUAGAGCGGCCGAUAUCCGGAUUAGCUAGUUGGUGGGGGUAACGGCUCGCAAGGCGACGAUCCGUAGCUGGUUGAAGGACGACCAGCCACACUGGGACUGAGACACGGCCCAGACUCCUACAGGAGGCAGCAGUGGGGAAUUUUGGACAAUGGGGAAACCCUGAUCCAGCCAUCCCGCGUGUGCAGUAGAAGGCCUUCGGGUUGUAAAGCACUUUCGGCAGGGAAACGGCACGGGAUAAUGCCCCGUGCAACUGACGGUACCUGCAGAAUAAGCACCGGCUAACUACGUGCCAGCAGCCGCGGUAAUACGUAGGGUGCAAGCGUUAAUCGGAAUUGCACUGGGCGUAAAGCGUGCGCAGGCGGUUCAGGAAAGAAAGAUGUGAAAUCCCGAGCUUAACUUUGGAACUGCAUUUUAACUACCGAGCUAGAGUGUGUCAGAGGAGGUGGAAUUCCGCGUGUAGCAGUGAAAUGCGUAGAUAUGCGGAGGAACACCGAUAGCGAAGGCAGCCUCCUGGGAUAACACUGACGCUCAUGCACGAAAGCGUGGGGAGCAAACAGGAUUAGAUACCCUGGUAGUCCACGCCCUAAACGAUGUCAACUAGCUGUUGGGGCCUUCGGGCCUUGGUAGCGCAACUAACGUGAAGUUGACUUCGCCUGGGAAGUACGGUCAUAAGAUUAAACUCAAAGGAAUUGACGGGGACCCGCACAAGCGGUGGAUGAUGUGGAUUAAUUCGAUGCAACGCGAAAAACCUUACCUACCCUUGACAUGUCUGGAAUCCCGAAGAGAUUUGGGAGUGCUCGCAAAACCGGAACACAGGUGCUGCAUGGCUGUCGUCAGCUCGUGUCGUGAGAUGUUGGGUUGAGCGCAACCCUUGUCAUUAGUUGCUACGAAAGGGCACUCUAAUGAGACUGCCGGUGACAAACCGGAGGAAGGUGGGGAUGACGUCAAGUCCUCAUGGCCCUUAUGGGUAGGGCUUCACACGUCAUACAAUGGUCGGGACAGAGGGUCGCCAACCCGCGAGGGGGAGCCAAUCCCAGAAACCCGAUCGUAGUCCGGAUUUCGCAGUCUGCAACUCGACUGCGUGAAGUCGGAAUCGCUAGUAAUCGCGGAUCAGCAUGUCGCGGUGAAUACGUUCCCGGGUCUUGUACACACCGCCCGUCACACCGUGGAGUGGGUUUUACCAAGUAGUUAGCCUAACCGUAAGGAGGCGAUUACCACGGUAGGAUUCAUGACUGGGGUGAAGUCGUA